UAGCAUAAUAAUUAGUUUUUUAAUUAAGAACUGGAAUGAAGGGUCCUACGAGAAAAAGACUGUCUCAAUUUAAUUUAAUUAGAAUUUUAUUUCUAAGUAAAAAAGCUUAGAUAAUUUUAAAAGACGAGAAGACCCUAUAGAGUUUUAUAUUUAAUAUUUAUUUUAAAAUUAAAGUAUUAUUUAAUUAAUCUAAAUAUAAAGUAUUUGGUUGGGGUGAUUAAAAAAUUUAAUAAACUUUUUUUUAUUUUAAAAUCAUUGAUUUAUGAAUAAUUGAGCCAUUUAUAUAUGAUUAAAAGAUUAAAUUACCUUAGGGAUAACAGCGUAAUUUUUUUUGAGAGUU
This 340-nucleotide ribosomal RNA is filed under the name Epirinus flagellatus. RNAcentral describes it as "partial 16S ribosomal RNA". Lineage: Eukaryota; Metazoa; Arthropoda; Insecta; Coleoptera; Scarabaeidae. The record is from RNAcentral.